CAGCAGCCGCGGGAAUACGAAGGGUGCAAGCGUUAAUCGGAAUUACUGGGCGUAAAGGGUGCGUAGGCGGUUGUUUAAGUCUGUUGUGAAAUCCCCGGGCUCAACCUGGGAAUGGCAAUGGAAACUGGACGGCUAGAGUGUGUCAGAGGAUGGUGGAAUUCCCGGUGUAGCGGUGAAAUGCGUAGAGAUCGGGAGGAACAUCAGCGGCGAAGGCGGCCAUCUGGGACAACACUGACGCUGAAGCACGAAAACGUGGGGAGCAAACAGGAUUAGAUACCCCCGUAGUCCCUGUCUCUUAUAC
RNAcentral lists this ribosomal RNA (301 nucleotides) under uncultured bacterium. RNAcentral's name for it is "partial 16S ribosomal RNA". It matches the Rfam family "Bacterial small subunit ribosomal RNA", at positions 509 to 807 of the family's 1533-position model. The record is from RNAcentral.